Long non-coding RNA from Nilaparvata lugens (brown planthopper), 566 nucleotides. RefSeq lists it as uncharacterized. The record is from RefSeq and is a predicted model, not a curated record. NCBI's taxonomy places the organism in Eukaryota, Metazoa, Arthropoda, Insecta, Hemiptera, Delphacidae. The transcript has 3 exons.
CGAACAGUCAUCCACAGCAUUUUGACAAUCAAACAAGCUUGAAAGGAUUGAUUUUGGUGCUGAUAGCGAUGACGUGGAGAAAACCCCAAGGCUGAGACAACCUCUCAGAUCUGACAAGGAGAAUGUGAACCAUGAUGCAGUGGACGAGCUAUACGGUGAACAGAUCUUCGAAAGUGGUUCGGACGCGACCGCCGAGAAAGAGCGAGAGAGAGAGACUCUAGAGAGAGACCGAGAGAGACAUAGAGAAACACAAGGGAGUGACAGAGAGAGACAUCGAGAGACACAAGGGAGUGACAGAGACGCAAAUGAAGACAGUGGCGGUGGAUUGGAGAGUGACUCACCACCCACGCCUCCUCCACCCCCUUCUCCUACCCCCCAACUGCUGCCGCCUCACCUCCAUGAGAUCCAUCCCUCCAGGCAGACACCGAUGCCCCUCGAUAUCGAAAAUUAUCUACAAUUAGGAGCUAAGGAAAUUGCUGAGAAACCUCUGAAAAGACUGAUGUACAGACUAUUUGCUGCGAUGGAGAUAAAAUUACUGCGAAGCAGAAAAUUACUAGGCCAAAAAU